This is a non-coding RNA of Peromyscus maniculatus bairdii (prairie deer mouse), 1012 nucleotides long. NCBI's taxonomy places the organism in Eukaryota, Metazoa, Chordata, Mammalia, Rodentia, Cricetidae. The record is from RefSeq and is a predicted model, not a curated record.
GUUCCCAUAUUUCCCUCUUUUCUCCACCAGAUGGCGGCUUUCCCUCAUUCUCCGGGCUUUCUAGCCAGCAUUUGCAAAAGCCGCCGCUGAACCCGGAAGGGGUUCUGUUGUGAUCCAUCCGCAAUCCCGUCCUACACACAGAGCACUUGGCUCCUGCUAACCACAGCGACAAUCAUAAUAGGAACUACCAGCUGUAUAAAUUUCUGGGUUUUAUGCUGGUGUCCCAAAGUCACACGUUUCAGUCUCUCCUGCUUGACUUAAUCAACUCAAGAAGCCAGGAAGAAAGGUCCAGAGGAGGGCCCGCCAUGAGCGAAGGGCGAAGGGCGGGGAUGAGAGGAGAGACCCCCCCCCCCCAGGCGUGGAACUUUUAAAAGGAAACCUAUCUAUUAGGGGAAACCCCACGACAUGGACCCUCAGCGCCAGAACUUCAAGUGGAAAAAAAAAAAAAGAACAACACAUUUGCUCAAUCCUGACCCGCCAUCCGGCUAAAACUGAGGUCAGCCUGACCCUCAGGCGUGCAUGGUAAUUACAGGAACCCUAACUCACCGGCCAUGGUUCUGCAUGGCGACACAGCUGUGCCCUAGCCUUACUGAACUUCAUAUCCUGUCAUGCUGGCUAACAGCCAUCCCAGCCACGUCACCGGGAUACAUCAAACUUGUGGUUUUGCCUCUAUAACCCCUGCUCACUGAGCUCCGGGCCUCUUUAGACACGUGAUCACAGGAGGGCAUGCUCCUGGCCGGGCCUGGGUGGCUCAAUAAAACCUUCAGAUCCAUGAGGAGAUCGUCCUGCUCUCCUUCUCUUGGUGAGAAAACGACUACAACGGAUGACGUAACUAGAAAACAUGACUUUUAUGUCAGGUGUGGUGCAUGCCUUGGAUCCCAGCACACGGGUAGAAGCCAGCCUCUGCUACGUAGCGUGUUUGAGACUAACCUGGGCUGUGCUGUGUGAGUUUGUCUUAAAAAUAAACAAAAACAAACAAAAUAAAACGUUAAACACUUCUCAAAAAUAAAAA